This 497-nucleotide ribosomal RNA is filed under the name uncultured bacterium. Its description in RNAcentral is "partial 16S ribosomal RNA". It matches the Rfam family "Bacterial small subunit ribosomal RNA", at positions 28 to 507 of the family's 1533-position model. The record is from RNAcentral.
GAUGAACGCUGGCGGCGUGCCUAAUACAUGCAAGUCGAGCGAACGGACGAGAAGCUUGCUUCUCUGAUGUUAGCGGCGGACGGGUGAGUAACACGUGGAUAACCUACCUAUAAGACUGGGAUAACUUCGGGAAACCGGAGCUAAUACCGGAUAAUAUUUUGAACCGCAUGGUUCAAAAGUGAAAGACGGUCUUGCUGUCACUUAUAGAUGGAUCCGCGCUGCAUUAGCUAGUUGGUAAGGUAACGGCUUACCAAGGCAACGAUGCAUAGCCGACCUGAGAGGGUGAUCGGCGACACUGGAACUGAGACACGGUCCAGACUCCUACGGGAGGCAGCAGUAGGGAAUCUUCUGCAAUGGGCGAAAGCCUGACGGAGCAACGCCGCGUGAGUGAUGAAGGUCUUCGGAUCGUAAAACUCUGUUAUUAGGGAAGAACAUAUGUGUAAGUAACUGUGCACAUCUUGACGGUACCUAAUCAGAAAGCCACGGCUAACUACGUG